UGAGGGUUAGUCGGGACCUAAGCCGAGGCCGAAAGGCGUAGGUGAUGGACAACUGGUUGAUAUUCCAGUACCACUACUAUCGUUAUUAUCGAUGGCGUGACGCAGGAGGAUAGUGUGUGCUAGCUAUUGGAUGCUAGUCUAAGCGUUUAGGCAGUGAGAGUAGGCAAAUCCGCUCUCAUAAUGCUGAGGCGUGAUGGGGAAGGUUCUACGGAACCGAAGUACAUGAUUCCACGCUGCCAAGAAAAGCGUCUAGAGAGAGAAGUAGUGCCCGUACCGCAAACCGACACAGGUAGGUGAGGAGAGAAUCCUAAGGCCGGCGGAAGAAUUACAGUUAAGGAACUCGGCAAAUUGACCCCGUAAGUUCGCGAGAAGGGGUGCCUACGAGAGUAGGCCGCAGAGAAUAGGCCCAAGCAACUGUUUAGCAAAAACACAGGUCUCUGCUAAAGCGUAAGCUGAUGUAUAGGGGCUGACGCCUGCCCGGUGCUGGAAGGUUAAGGGGAACACUUAGCGCAAGCGAAGGUGUGAACUUAAGCCCCAGUAAACGGCGGCCGUAACUAUAACGGUCCUAAGGUAGCGAAAUUCCUUGUCAGGUAAGUUCUGACCCGCACGAAUGGCGUAAUGACUUGGGCACUGUCUCAACUGUAAAUCCGGCGAAGUUGUAGUGCGAGUGAAGAUGCUCGCUACCCGCGAUUGGACGGAAAGACCCCGUAGAGCUUUACUGUAGCUUAGCAUUGAGUUUUGGUAUUGUCUGUACAGGAUAGGUGGGAGACUAGGAAACCAGGGCGUCAGCCUUGGUGGAGUCAACCUUGGGAUACCACCCUGACAGUACUGAAAUUCUAACUGGCGGCCAUGAAUCUGGUCACAGGACAUUGUUAGGUGGGCAGUUUGACUGGGGCGGUCGCCUCCUAAAAAGUAACGGAGGCGCCCAAAGGUUCCCUCAGAACGGUCGGAAAUCGUUCGAAGAGUGCAAAGGCAGAAGGGAGCCUGACUGCGACACCCACAAGUGGAGCAGGGACGAAAGUCGGGCUUAGUGAUCCGGUGGUACCUCGUGGGAGGGCCAUCGCUCAACGGAUAAAAGCUACCUCGGGGAUAACAGGCUGAUCUCCCCCAAGAGUCCACAUCGACGGGGAGGUUUGGCACCUCGAUGUCGGCUCGUCGCAUCCUGGGGCUGAAGUAGGUCCCAAGGGUUGGGCUGUUCGCCCAUUAAAGCGGCACGCGAGCUGGGUUCAGAACGUCGUGAGACAGUUCGGUCCCUAUCCGUCGCGGGCGUAGGAAAUUUGAGAGGAGCUGUCCUUAGUACGAGAGGACCGGGAUGGACUGACCUCUGGUGUACCAGUUGUUCCGCCAGGAGCACAGCUGGGUAGCUAAGUCGGGAAUGGAUAAACGCUGAAAGCAUCUAAGCGUGAAGCCAACCUCAAGAUGAGAUUUCCCAUAGCGUAAGCUAGUAAGAUCCCUUGAAGAACACAAGGUUGAUAGGUCGGGGGUGUAAGCAUGGUAACAUGUUCAGCUGACCGAUACUAAUAGAUCGAGGGCUUGACCAAAU
This 1543-nucleotide ribosomal RNA is filed under the name Clostridium perfringens. Its description in RNAcentral is "partial 23S ribosomal RNA". It matches the Rfam family "Bacterial large subunit ribosomal RNA", at positions 1374 to 2925 of the family's 2925-position model. The record is from RNAcentral. Lineage: Bacteria; Bacillati; Bacillota; Clostridia; Eubacteriales; Clostridiaceae.